Molecule: ribosomal RNA, 468 nt
Filed under: uncultured bacterium
Lineage: Bacteria
Description: bacterial SSU rRNA
Rfam family: Bacterial small subunit ribosomal RNA
Source: RNAcentral
GACGAACGCUGGCGGCGUGCCUAAUACAUGCAAGUCGAGCGCGGGAAGCAGACUGAAGCCUUCGGGCGGACGUCUGUGGAACGAGCGGCGGAUGGGUGAGUAACACGUGGGCAACCUGCCCUGUAGAUUGGGAUAACUCGCGGAAACGCGGGCUAAUACCAAAUAAUCCAUCGUACCUCCUGGUACGAUGUUGAAAGACGGUUUCGGCUGUCACUACAGGAUGGGCCCGCGGCGCAUUAGCUAGUUGGUGGGGUAAUGGCCUACCAAGGCAACGAUGCGUAGCCGACCUGAGAGGGUGAUCGGCCACACUGGGACUGAGACACGGCCCAGACUCCCACGGGAGGCAGCAGUAGGGAAUCUUCCACAAUGGACGAAAGUCUGAUGGAGCAACGCCGCGUGAGUGAAGAAGGAUUUCGGUUCGUAAAACUCUGUUGCGAGGGAAGAACAAGUACGAAGUAACUACUCGUA